GAUGAACGCUAGCGGCAGGCUUAACACAUGCAAGUCGAACGGAGUUACCCUUCGGGGUAGCUUAGUGGCGAACGGGUGAGUAACGCGUGAAGAACCUGCCUUUCAGUGGGGGACAACAGUUGGAAACGACUGCUAAUACCGCAUAAUGUCAUUUGGGGGCAUCCCCGAAUGACCAAAGAUUUAUUGCUGAAAGAUGGCUUCGCGUCUGAUUAGCUAGUUGGUGAGGUAACGGCUCACCAAGGCGACGAUCAGUAGCCGGUCUGAGAGGAUGAACGGCCACAUUGGGACUGAGAUACGGCCCAGACUCCUACGGGAGGCAGCAGUGGGGAAUAUUGGGCAAUGGACGCAAGUCUGAACCAGCCAUGCCGCGUGCAGGAUGACGGCUCUAUGAGUUGUAAACCUCUUUAGUCGGGGAGCAAAAAGGAUCACGCGUGGUCCAUUGAGCGUACCCGAAGAAUAAGCAUCGGCUAACUCCGUGCCAGCAGCCG
This 488-nucleotide ribosomal RNA is filed under the name uncultured bacterium. Its description in RNAcentral is "bacterial SSU rRNA". It matches the Rfam family "Bacterial small subunit ribosomal RNA", at positions 28 to 517 of the family's 1533-position model. The record is from RNAcentral.